This 426-nucleotide long non-coding RNA is filed under the name Rattus norvegicus (Norway rat). RNAcentral's name for it is "long non-coding RNA NONRATT022108". Lineage: Eukaryota; Metazoa; Chordata; Mammalia; Rodentia; Muridae. The record is from RNAcentral.
CUUAAUUCCAUAAGGACCCCUAGAGCCAUCCAUUCAUACACAAAAUCAGUCACCAUUCUUCCCUGGGUACCCAACACAGGUAGUUUUGUCAAUACCUACCAAUUCGUCUGGGCCCGGGACACACACACAUUCUCCUGUCAUCACAACACGGAGCCGACAACAUCCACAACCCGCGCGGACAGCAGCAGCGACAGCAGCAGCGGCCCAUUGAAAGCAAGGCAGAGAUGCUCAUUAGAGGAGGCGGCGGCAGGGAGGCGGGAGCGGAGGAGGGGCGAGGUCUCGCAGCAGCCCAGUGAAUGGGCUGGGAGGGGAGGAGAGAAUGGAGGGGGGAGAAAGGGGAGGGGAGAAGAAGAAACCAAACAAACCCACCCUGCCGGCGAGGCGGCAUCAUAGCCCUAGGCGGGGAACUCCAGGACCCCGGACAGG